UCUGGUUUCUAAAUCUAGACUUGUACUCAAUUUCCAGCCAAAGCAUGUUACUUUCCAACUCCUUCAAAAGUCACGGGAAAUAUAAAGGUACAAGGACAUCAUCAAAUAAAUCCAUUCCACAGGUAAUUGUGUUCCUUACAACUGCCUAACAAUGUUUUAAGAGGAUUAAGGCACAAAAUGAGGUGAGGCGUAAACUCUUAGGCAUUAUGAGGUGUAACCCUCAUUUUAAAUAGAAAAAAAUAAAUAAACAGUGUAAAAACAUAAAAUAUUAUGUUCCAAAUAUUGCAGUAUUCAUAUAAAAGUUUAAAAUACAUCAUUUGUUUAAUUGGAACGAAACAUGAUAUCUAAAAAACUAGAGAAAUAUUUUUUUAAAAAAGAGAGAGAGAGAGAGAGAGAGAGAGAAAACUUUAAAAAGUUAGAAAAAAAUACUGAAAAAAACACAUUGGUUCUUUUUAAUUAGAAGUUAGAAAAAAGAAUAUUUAACAAAAUCAAGAAACUUGUACUCCUUAAAAAAAAAAAAAAUUAAAAAUUAAACCACAAACAGUAGUAAAAGGGUAGAUUGAAAAGGCGAAGGUAGUGGUCUGGCAUCACAGAAAAGACAAAAAAGAAAGAAAAAAACUGAAAAGAAAACGGUGCAAUAAAUAAUAAACAAAAGAAAAGAAGGUUGAACUCAUUAAAUAAUGCACUACCACCGCCAAAAGCCACCACAGCUAGGAAUUUGUAGAGGUGUUGGAGCUUCAGUUGAGGCUUACGCAUUUCAACCUCAAAACGUAAGGG
This is a long non-coding RNA of Cucurbita maxima (winter squash), 777 nucleotides long. RefSeq lists it as uncharacterized. The record is from RefSeq and is a predicted model, not a curated record. The transcript is spliced from 2 exons. Lineage: Eukaryota; Viridiplantae; Streptophyta; Magnoliopsida; Cucurbitales; Cucurbitaceae.